UACAGGGGGUGCAAACGUUGCUCGGAAUCAUUGGGCGUAAAGCGCACGUAGGCGGUUCGUUAUGUCGGAUGUGAAAUCCCACGGCUCAACCGUGGAAGUGCACUCGAAACUGCAUAGCUAGAGUCCUGGAGAGGAAGGUGGAAUGCUUGGUGUAGAGGUGAAAUUCGUAGAUAUCAAGCGGAACACCGGUGGCGAAGGCGGCCUUACUGGACA
RNAcentral lists this ribosomal RNA (213 nucleotides) under uncultured bacterium. RNAcentral's name for it is "partial 16S ribosomal RNA". It matches the Rfam family "Bacterial small subunit ribosomal RNA", at positions 524 to 735 of the family's 1533-position model. The record is from RNAcentral.